UGGGGAAUCUUGCACAAUGGAGGAAACUCUGAUGCAGCGACGCCGCGUGAGCGAUGAAGCCCUUCGGGGUGUAAAGCUCUUUCGACGGGAACGAUAAUGACGGUACCCGGAGAAGAAGCUGCGGCUAACUACGUGCCAGCAGCCGCGGUAAUACGUAGGCAGCAAACGUUGUUCGGAAUUACUGGGCGUAAAGCGUGUGUAGGCGGUUUUGCAAGUUUGGUGUGAAAUCUCCCGGCUUAACUGGGAGGGUGCGCCGAAAACUGCAAGGCUCGAGUACUGGAGAGGAAAGCGGAAUUCCUGGUGUAGCGGUGAAAUGCGUAGAGAUGUGGAAGAACACCGAUGGCGAAGGCAGCUCCCUGGGUUGACACUGACGCUCAUGCACGAAAGCGUGGGGAGCAAACA
This 402-nucleotide ribosomal RNA is filed under the name uncultured bacterium. RNAcentral's name for it is "bacterial SSU rRNA". It matches the Rfam family "Bacterial small subunit ribosomal RNA", at positions 355 to 774 of the family's 1533-position model. The record is from RNAcentral.